This 75-nucleotide transfer RNA is filed under the name Helicobacteraceae bacterium CG2_30_36_10. RNAcentral's name for it is "tRNA-Val". It matches the Rfam family "tRNA". Rfam says of the family: Transfer RNA (tRNA) molecules are approximately 80 nucleotides in length. The record is from RNAcentral. Lineage: Bacteria; Pseudomonadati; Campylobacterota; Epsilonproteobacteria; Campylobacterales; Helicobacteraceae.
GCUCGAUUAACUCAGCGGUAGAGUGCCUCCAUGACAUGGAGGUGGUCACUGGUUCGAAUCCAGUAUUGAGCACCA